AAAGCUUAGGAUUAAAUAUUAAACCAGUGGCCUUCAACACCACAAACAAGGGAGGACCCUUAGCUUUUG
RNAcentral lists this transfer RNA (69 nucleotides) under Phrynocephalus przewalskii. Its description in RNAcentral is "tRNA-Trp". Lineage: Eukaryota; Metazoa; Chordata; Lepidosauria; Squamata; Agamidae. The record is from RNAcentral.